UACGAGGGGGGCAAGCGUUGUUCGGAAUUAUUGGGCGUAAAGGGCGCGUAGGCGGUUUGACAAGUCUGAUGUGAAAUCUCUGGGCUCAACCCAGAGUCUGCAUUAGAAACUGUCGGGCUUGAGUAUGGGAGAGGUGAGUGGAAUUUCCGGUGUAGCGGUGAAAUGCGUAGAUAUCGGAAGGAACACCUGUGGCGAAAGCGGCUCACUGGACCAUAACUGACGCUGAGGCGCGAAAGCUAGGGGAGCAAACAUG
Molecule: ribosomal RNA, 253 nt
Filed under: uncultured bacterium
Lineage: Bacteria
Description: partial 16S ribosomal RNA
Rfam family: Bacterial small subunit ribosomal RNA
Source: RNAcentral